UACAGAGGUCCCGAGCGUUGUUCGGAUUCACUGGGCGUAAAGGGUGCGUAGGUGGUGAGGUAAGUCGGAUGUGAAAUCUCCGGGCUCAACCCGGAAAUGGCAUUGGAAACUACCUUGCUGGAGGAUUUGAGGGGGGAUUGGAAUACUUGGUGUAGCAGUGAAAUGCGUAGAUAUCUGGAGGAACACCGGUGGCGAAGGCGGCGUUCUGGACUGUUUCUGACACUGAUAAACGAAAGCCAGGGGAGCAAACGGG
RNAcentral lists this ribosomal RNA (253 nucleotides) under uncultured bacterium. RNAcentral describes it as "partial 16S ribosomal RNA". It matches the Rfam family "Bacterial small subunit ribosomal RNA", at positions 524 to 776 of the family's 1533-position model. The record is from RNAcentral.